Solenopsis invicta (red fire ant) is the source of this 1180-nucleotide long non-coding RNA. RefSeq lists it as uncharacterized. Lineage: Eukaryota; Metazoa; Arthropoda; Insecta; Hymenoptera; Formicidae. The record is from RefSeq and is a predicted model, not a curated record. The transcript has 3 exons.
AUUACAAUGAAUACAUUAUGAAUAAGGAUAAAAUGUUACACAAAUACUCCGUAAAAAGGGCGAUACAACACUUUUCCAAAUUUGCAAAUUUUAUAACGGAUUAUCUAUUGUUGUUAUUGAAAACCGUACGUGAUUUAUUGAAAAGUGUUGUACCACGAUUUUAUCACUCUUAUCAGUACCAAAGUCAAACGGUAUAUAAUUUUUCAAUCCUAGCUCAUCAUAUUUAUUUUCGUUUCGUAUUUAUUAUCAUUUGCAGGGUUUUUACUUUCGCGUUAAAUUAUAUUGACAAGUCUGUGUUUAUACGGAUACCGUCUUGUAUUAUGUUUCAAAUAAUCAUCCCAAGAUUAUUACGUCAACGUGAAAUGCGAAUCGAUCGGUGGUUUCCGGAGGGAUGAAUUUCGGGACUCUCCACGUUUCCCUCUCGUGACAUCUAAAGACAUCUAAAAGACCAUCUAAAAGACAAACGAUCUCGUUCCGUUUCACGGAGCGCGGGAACUUUUCUCUAAAGCCUCUAUUUAUACGUUUAAUUGACACCUCUUAAACGCUAUUAAUAUUCAUCGCCGAAAAUUAAAAACCAUCGGCAAAAUUUUAAAACCUGAAACGUAUAUUUUUGCUAUUAUUGAGAUUUAUUGCUUUCUCCGUCCACGGAGAAAUAACGGACAUGUUUCGAAUAUUCCCCCCACUUAUAAUGCUAGGAGACCGUUCUUUUUGAAACCUGGUAAGAUGUCGUCAACUAUAAAAGUCAAAAUAUUAUCGUAUGACCAGCCAGUAACUCUUUGAUCACAGACUUGACUCCAUCGUGCCUAAAAGUGAAAUCAAACAUGAAAGCAAUCAUUAUCGUGCACAUCAUUUCUUUCAUCGCCGUUUUGGGUCAAUUCACAGAUGGGCAAAAAGCAAAAUUGAGAGAGUUCACAGAAUCAUGUGUGAAUCGAUUCUGUGAAAUGAACGAAUAUGGUGUCGAUAGGAGUGGGUGAAGAAUAAAUUAACUGCAUACACAUAUAUACUCGUGUGCCUGUGUGCGUUUCUGGAACAACUGGUUGGAAAAUAAGAGACAAGCUAAAUGUUUCAUGGACAACGAUAUUUAUCAUUUACAAUAGAAUAAAACCAAACUUUGCAUAAAGACUUAAUUAGAUUAAUGGGAUCUAUUGUUUACUAGCUGACACAUCAGAUUAAAAUAUAA